UUGAACCCGGGAGGCGGAGGUUGCAGUGAGCCGAGAUUGCGCCAUUGCACUCCAGCCUGGGCGACAGAGUGAGACUCUGUCUCAGAAAAAAAAAAUUUAAAAAGGGAGGUGCUCAGUCAAGUCUCUGAGAGGAGUGGGUGGCGGGGCGAGGAGUCCCUUGCUCAGGGCCCCCUAGGGACUGGGACCCAUUGACUCUGAGUUGCUUUUGAGGCUGCAUCAGGUACCAGCGGCCUGGGGGUCGUACAGGAUGGGAGAGGCCGGGACUUGGGAUGUUGCCAGAUCUACGUUAAAAAGUGAAGCAGGAAGCGGGGCACCGAGGCUGGGCACAUGGGGAAAACCGCGGAGAGCCGGACUUUGGGGACUGGAAGAGUGGGAACAGUGGCUGACAAAUGUGAACAUGUAUGGACACAAAGCUGAGGUGACAGGAUGGGGAUGGGGCCUUGGAACAGCACCAAGAAUCCUGGUUGAACCCUCCAAGUGAAAAGAUCCUGCCACAACAUAUGUGAACCAGGGUUAUCACCGAGUGGGACUGGUGGCUCCUUUAGAAGAGGAAGGAAGAGCGGAGCUGGCACGUGAGCAUGCUCAGCCCCCUGGCCGUGUGACACCUGGACCAUCCUCAGGACUCUGCAGAGUCCCCACCAGCAAGAAGGUCGUCAUCAGAUGCAGCCACUGAACCUUGGACCUCUCAGCCCCCAGGGCUAUAACAAAUACAUUCUUUUUUAAAGUCAA
Chlorocebus sabaeus (green monkey) is the source of this 729-nucleotide long non-coding RNA. RefSeq lists it as uncharacterized. The record is from RefSeq and is a predicted model, not a curated record. NCBI's taxonomy places the organism in Eukaryota, Metazoa, Chordata, Mammalia, Primates, Cercopithecidae.